GGGGAAUAUUGCUCAAUGGGGGAAACCCUGAAGCAGCAACGCCGCGUGAAGGAUGAAGGUUUUCGGAUUGUAAACUUCUUUGAUUGGGGACGAAUAAUGACGGUACCCAAAGAACAAGCCACGGCUAACUACGUGCCAGCAGCCGCGGUAAUACGUAGGUGGCGAGCGUUGUCCGGAAUUACUGGGUGUAAAGGGCGUGUAGGCGGGGUUGUAAGUCAGAUGUGAAAUACCGGGGCUUAACUCCGGGGCUGCAUCUGAAACUAUGGCUCUUGAGUGCUGGAGAGGAAAGCGGAAUUCCUAGUGUAGCGGUGAAAUGCGUAGAUAUUAGGAGGAACACCAGUGGCGAAGGCGGCUUUCUGGACAGUAACUGACGCUGAGGCGCGAAAGCGUGGGGAGCAAAC
RNAcentral lists this ribosomal RNA (401 nucleotides) under uncultured bacterium. RNAcentral describes it as "bacterial SSU rRNA". It matches the Rfam family "Bacterial small subunit ribosomal RNA", at positions 356 to 773 of the family's 1533-position model. The record is from RNAcentral.